UACGUAGGGGGCGAGCGUUGUCCGGAUUUAUUGGGCGUAAAGAGCUCGUAGGCGGUUCGAUAAGUCGGAUGUGAAGUCUCCACGCUCAACGUGGAGGGGCCAUUCGAUACCGUCGUGACUCGAGUCCGGUAGGGGAGUGUGGAAUUCCUGGUGUAGCGGUGAAAUGCGCAGAUAUCAGGAAGAACACCGGUGGCGAAGGCGGCUCUCUGGGCCUUACCUGACGCUGAGGAGCGAAAGCGUGGGUAGCGAACAGG
This 254-nucleotide ribosomal RNA is filed under the name uncultured bacterium. RNAcentral's name for it is "partial 16S ribosomal RNA". It matches the Rfam family "Bacterial small subunit ribosomal RNA", at positions 524 to 776 of the family's 1533-position model. The record is from RNAcentral.